This 136-nucleotide small nuclear RNA is filed under the name Ornithorhynchus anatinus (platypus). Its description in RNAcentral is "U1 spliceosomal RNA (ENSOANG00000037335.1)". It matches the Rfam family "U1 spliceosomal RNA", at positions 23 to 166 of the family's 166-position model. Rfam says of the family: U1 is a small nuclear RNA (snRNA) component of the spliceosome (involved in pre-mRNA splicing). Its 5' end forms complementary base pairs with the 5' splice junction, thus defining the 5' donor site of an intron. Lineage: Eukaryota; Metazoa; Chordata; Mammalia; Monotremata; Ornithorhynchidae. The record is from RNAcentral.
UUAUUGUUAUGUAGGGGUUUUUCCCAAGGUGAGGCUCAGCCAUUGCACUCCGGCUGUGUUGGCGCCUGAGAUUUCCCCAAAUGGGGGAAACUCGACUGGAUAACUUGUGGUAGUGAGGGAUUGCUUGCUACCCUGA